This 128-nucleotide transfer RNA is filed under the name Candidatus Woesearchaeota archaeon. RNAcentral's name for it is "tRNA-Ser". It matches the Rfam family "tRNA". From Rfam's summary of the family: Transfer RNA (tRNA) molecules are approximately 80 nucleotides in length. Lineage: Archaea; Nanobdellati; Candidatus Woesearchaeota. The record is from RNAcentral.
GCCGCGGUGGCACAACCUGGUACUGCGCCAGAUUGCUAAUCUGGUUUCCUUCGGGAUACCUUUGAGGCCUGCCUGAGAAUGGCAAGGGCUGAAGGCCCGUAAUCUGGGUUCAAAUCCCAGCCGCGGCG